UGGGGAAUUUUGGACAAUGGGCGAAAGCCUGAUCCAGCAAUGCCGCGUGUGUGAAGAAGGCCUUCGGGUUGUAAAGCACUUUUGUCCGGAAAGAAAUCCUUGGCUCUAAUACAGUCGGGGGAUGACGGUACCGGAAGAAUAAGCACCGGCUAACUACGUGCCAGCAGCCGCGGUAAUACGUAGGGUGCAAGCGUUAAUCGGAAUUACUGGGCGUAAAGCGUGCGCAGGCGGUUUGCUAAGACCGAUGUGAAAUCCCCGGGCUCAACCUGGGAACUGCAUUGGUGACUGGCAGGCUAGAGUAUGGCAGAGGGGGGUAGAAUUCCACGUGUAGCAGUGAAAUGCGUAGAGAUGUGGAGGAAUACCGAUGGCGAAGGCAGCCCCUGGGCCAAUACUGACGCUCAUGCACGAAAGCGUGGGGGAGCAAACAGGAUUAGAUACCCUGGUAGUCCACGCCCUAAACGAUGUCAACUAGUUGUUGGGGAUUCAUUUCCUUAGUAACGUAGCUAACGCGUGAAGUUGACCGCCUGGGGAGUACGGUCG
Molecule: ribosomal RNA, 540 nt
Filed under: uncultured bacterium
Lineage: Bacteria
Description: partial 16S ribosomal RNA
Rfam family: Bacterial small subunit ribosomal RNA
Source: RNAcentral